RNAcentral lists this long non-coding RNA (6854 nucleotides) under Canis lupus familiaris (dog). Its description in RNAcentral is "lncRNA (ENSCAFG00000053091.1)". The record is from RNAcentral. Lineage: Eukaryota; Metazoa; Chordata; Mammalia; Carnivora; Canidae.
UUUUUUUUUUGGUGGGGGGGGAGAGAGAAAGUCCACACAUGCCUGUGAGUGGAGGGGGGAUGUGACUAAGGGGGUUGCAGAGGGAGACAGGGAGAGAGAACCUCAAGCAGGCUCUGCACUGAGUGUAGAGCCCAAUGCAGGGCUCAAUCUCAUGACCCUGAGAUCACAACCUGAGCCAAAAUCAAGAGUUGGACGCUUAACUGACUGAGCCACCCAGGCGCCCCAAAUGUCUGAUUUUCUAAUGCUAGAUGUAUGUACUUUCCCAAAUUAUGUUUGAUCUGCCUAUUCAAAUAAAUUGAAUUUUCCUUUACAGCAGUAAAACAUAAAAUGAAAACUUUCUUCAAACUAAGUUUUUUUUACUUCUAUAUUUAUAGAAGAUAUUUUAUAAUUUAUCACUUUCUCUUUGGAACCUUAGAAUAUAUCAAAGUCAGGCCAAUAUCUAUAUUGCCUCUGCCUUUGACUGUAUUAAUUGUGCUGUGACAACCAUUCGGCAUUCAGCCACUCUGGUAAAAGAGGAAGAGAAGACAGCAGAAAGCAACCAGAACCUUGCCAUAGCUUCUGGACAGCCAGGGGACUCCCCAAUGGAAAAGUGCCUACUCAUUCACAGCGUCGCCUGCUCUCAAGGCCUCAGCUACUCCCAGUCCAUAAGGAUCUGAGACUUCCAGUGUUUUAGUGGUCACAAGAAGCAGGAAUCCACUUAGACUAGCUCAAAGUAUGUGAGAGUUGAGUAUAAGAUUACUAGGGAUUACCCCCCAAAGCACAGGAGGUUAGCCCUAGCCUUGUGGGACAAUGGAACCCAUGGAACCCAGAGCUUGUCUCUGUUGCUUGCUUCUUUACUCUCUCUCCUCUCUCCUGCCUGGAUACUACUCCUCACUCAACCACUCACAGGAGAUGCAGCCCCAGCCACCCACCCAGCAUUUUCCUCUUUCUCAGGCCAAACUUCUCUGCUCCCUCUGACCCAUGCCUCAACCUCUCAGAAAACAUCAGGUUCUUUCAUAAUAAACGGGCCUCAGGAUGCUGAGAACAAAGACUCAGACUCAGCAGAAGAGUGCCCAGUGCAAACCCCAAAGGGAAGAUGAUGAUCAAGGAAGCUAGUACAAGAACACCCAUCCUGGUGGAAGAAACCAAAACUUGGUAAAGGAGUUGAGCAAACACCCAGGGUGGAGGCAACAAUCUAGAGGAGAGAAAAAGGAACAUCCUCAAAGUAAGCAGGAAAACAAGUCAGUCGGUAAAUCUGAACAGGGUCCCAGUUAAGUCAGCGGAACAGCUCUUCCACCUGCUGGCUCAGGCUGUGCAGAGCUGGGGCGCACCAUCUGGGGCCAAGUGCUUGCUCAGACUUCAGAGGAAAUCAGGGAGUUAAGAGGUAAAAGCAAUACAAAAAAAGGACCAUAGGUAUUUGUCAGCAUCAAACGACCAAAUAGAAUAGAACUAGGGGGCAGAAAACUUGGCUCUGCCACUAACUUGCCAAGUGAUCUGGAGAAAGUCAUUUUCUUUGGGCCUCAGUUUCCGCACAUAUAAUGUGAAGAGACUGGGCUAAAGAAUCCUUGGGUCCCUGAAGCAAUGACCCUUGAGGCAGUGGUGUGCUCAAGUCAGCUCUCGCUGGAUCAUGAGAACCAACUAUUACAUUUGGAGGAACUUUGUGGCUUGUUGUUAAACACAGCUGUCAUAAAAAAAUUAAAUAAUAUACAUUAAUAAUAAAUUUUACCAAAAUCCAACAGCAAAAAUACCCAAAAGUCACCACUUCCUAGUUACUUUACUACAUUUUAUGGUUACCUAUGCCAGGGGUCAACAAACUUUUUCUGUAAGGGGACAAAUACUAAGUAUUUUAGGCUUUGAGGAUCACAGUCUGUCAUAUAUUGUUUGUUUCACCAUGCUUUAAAAAAAGAUAAAAACUAAUCUUAGCUCAUGGACUGCACAAUAACAGGCCAUGCAAGGGUCAGAUGUGGUCUACGGGCCGUAAUUUGCCAAUCACUGAUCUACGAUCUUGAGGUUAUUUACACUUAUUUCACUCACAUGGUGGAGAUGCCAUACAAUAGUGUGCUCUUGCACAUCUCUGCCCAACUCCAUUUCCAGUGAGAUCACAUUAGUAGCUUAAAAUCAGCUAUGGUGAAAGUAUUUACACUACAGAAAUGGACAAACGCUGCAAAUCAAAGCUUCUCUUCCUGGAAGCUGGCUGUUAUAAGUUUACCAGCACACCACUGCCUUGAGGUCACUGCGGGAGAGAAUCACAGAAAACUAAAGUGCUUUAUCAACUCACCCAGGAAAUCCAGACAGAGAAGCAAAAUGCAAAGGGAAAAUGCCAUCUCUGGAGCCAGGUGAAAAGAAAAACAGGAAUACCCAGCCAGGCACGUCUGGUCAUGGCUUAAUUAACAGGUGGUCUUCCAUGACCACCCUCAGGAUUCGGGCCUCCUUUUCUGUGACUGAGAUGUAUCCUAUUAUUCUCGUCUCUCACUGUGAAAAGACUAUUUCUGGCUUUGUUGCUGCCCUGGGCAGUAACAAAGCAGCUGAGGUCUGCCCAGAAGUAGCCAGGGACGGACAAUGUACAAAGGGUUCAUGGCUGUGAGGGAGACAAGUAAAUGCCAAAGGGAAAGGCAGUUUUAUGUAGAGAAGCCACCUCUGCUGUUCUGGUGUGGAUUUGGGGCUUCUCUUAAAAUAGAACGAUAAACGUGCAGGUCUAGACUAAGCAGCAAUUUUGGUUUUGGGGAAAGCUGAUACCCAGCAGGAUGAGGGCAACCCCGAGAAAGUUUGUUUUCAGCAAUUUGGGCUCAAUUAACCAGGAAAAGUGCCUGGCAAAGAACAAAACACAACCAAAACCAGGAGUAUGCCUUCAGGGCAUUUAUGAGAUGACCCUCCUACAAAUUCCCAGACUAUAAACUCUGCCUUUGGGGAAAUGAGCUGAAACCUUAAGAUCUCUGGAAGAAAUCAUCUCUGUGCUCUACUCCUCUCUCCAAGUCCCAGGAAGAACUCACCCUGGACAUUUAUACUACCUCUCACCCACUUGCUCUGCUUCUCCUAGCUGAUCAUAAGGAAAACUGAUAGACACUAUGGUUGGUGAUCUCCUAGGACUGGGCCUUGUAAUAUCUUUGCCCAACUCCCAGUUGCCUAAUUCAAGGAGUAUAAAAUGCUGGGGAAAUGGAAGGGAGGAGAGAGCAAGGCUUGGUGGAGACAGUGGAUGAGGACACAGGUGGUGAGAGACAGCUGCAUGGACAAAGGGACCCUUGAACUGACCCUUAAAGGAAUAGACAGAGAACAAAAGGAAAAGGCAUCUCAGACAAAGGCAGUGGAGCAGGUAAAUGAAAGAUAUGGUUGUUACAUUAAAAGGUGCUCAAGGCCCCACAUCUAGAAGCACCUUCUCAGCGCCUUCAAGUUUCUGUCUGGUUCAGCCUACUCCAACCUCCACUGAGUCCAUCCAGGUGACCCAGAAGUCCUACAAGGUGCCCACCACUGGUCCCUGGGCCUUCAGCAGCCACUCAUACAUAAGUGUGUCCGGCACCCACAUCAGUUCCUCGGCCUUCUUCCAGGUGGGCAGGAGCAGCAGCUUCUGGGGUGACCUGGGGACCAGUAUGAGUAUGCUCAGGGCCUACACUGGGCCCAGGGUAUGGGGAACAUCACAGCUGUCUCAGUGAAACAGAGCCUGCUCAGCCCCUUAAGCUGGUAACGGACUCCAGUGCCCAAGCCAUGUGCAUCCAGGACAAGGAACAGACCAAGACCCUCAAGAACAAGUCUUUAUCAACAAGGUGUAGAACCUAGAGCAGCAGAACCAGAUGGUGGAGCCCAGUGGAGCCUCUUAGAGCAACAGAAAAUGGCUCAGAGCAACAUGGACAACGUGUUUAAGAGCUAGGUCAACAACCUCAGGCAGCAGCUGGACACAGUGGCCCAGGAGAAGCUGAAGCUGGACACAGAGCUUGGCAAAUGCAAGGGCUGGUGAUGGACUUCAAGAAGAAGCACAAGGGAGCGAUCAAAGAGUGUGCAGCAAUGGAGAAUGAAACUGUCCUUGCCAGAACAGCUGUGGAUGAAGAUUAUCUGAAUAAAGCAGAGCUACCUGGAGGGGCUGAUGGAUAAGAUCAUCUCCCUAAGGCCCCCAUAUGAAGAAGAGAACUGAGAGCUGUGGUCGUAGAUCGCCAACACCUUCAUGGACCUCUUCGUGUACAACAGCACUCUCUGGACCAGACAGCCUCAUUGCCAAGGUCAAGGCCCUGUCCAAGGAGAUCCCCAACCAUAGCCAGGCCAAGGCUGAGCUUGUGUACCAGAUCAAGUACAAGGAACUGCAGAUACUGGCUGGGAAGCACAGGGAUAACCUCUGUCACACACAGAUAGAGAGUUCUGAGAUGAACUAGAACAUCAGACAAAUCCAGACUGCAGUUUCUCAGGGCCUCAAAGGCUUCCCUGGAGGCUGUCAUCACUGAUGCUAAGCAGUGUAGGCAGCUGGCCAUUAAGGACUCCAAUGCCAAGGUGGCUGAGCUAGAGGGUGCCCUGUGGCAAGCCAAGCAGGACAUGGCAUGGCAGCUGCCUGACUACCAGGACCCCAAGCAGCUACUCUGGUGGACUGAACUCAAUCUAUCGGGGUCUCAUGAGCCCUGACUUCAGCUACAGCCUGAGUUUCUUCCAGUCCAGCUUCAGCUCUGUCAGGGGCUCUGGCUCCAGCUGCUCAGCUUCUCCAAGGCCAUGGUUGCAAAGAAGAUUGAGACCCACAAUGAGAAACUCGUGUCUGUAUCAUCUGAUGUCCCACCCAAGUAAACAGCCACUGCCUCCCAGUCUCUCCUCUCCUAUGGCUGCCAUAGAGCCUUUGGGGGAAUGUGCAGGGGAGCUAUUGGGAACAGAAGACCCACCUGAGGCUUAGCCCCAGUCCUUAUUCUACUCUCAGGGGUAGUCUACUGCCCUGGGUAUCCUCUCUUGUCUUUACCCCAAACUAAAAGACAACUCAAGCAUUUUUUCCCAAAUAAAAGCUUUAGCUGGCUCUGCAAAAAAAAAAAAAAAAAAGUACAAACUCAUUAAUUAUGAAAGAAAUUCAAAUUAAAAACCACAGUGAGAAGUAUAAAGCCACAAGAGAAUACACCUCCUACCACAACGAGAGAAAACUAGACAAUCUAUAAAAUCGUAACUUCCCUUGAGCCCAUCAGAGUAUAAAGGUUACACGGCAAAUCAGAAGAUCUGAAUUCCUGUGACUGAGAAGCCCUACCACAGAUAAUACACAAGAACUCUUCUACCUUUGUCAGAGCCUCUUUGGAGGAAGAGGGUAAGAAGAAAAGAGGUAGCCUUACAACAAAUUCUUAAAAGUGAAGUGUGAGUUGGCAUGAAGUUGAGAAUCCAUGGGAACCCCAGACCGAAGAGUUCAUAUACUUAAGCUCUUUUCCACAAUCUCUGCCAGGUACUCAGAAGAACGACUGAGGCAGGCAGGACAGCUAAGAGAGCCUUCUUGGGCCUGCGGGCAUGAAACCCCACCCAUUUUCCAGAGCCUUUUCUCAUAAGAAGUCAAAACCUUAAGCCACUAGGGGAGGGGUAGGCAACUCUCCCAUUCAGGAGGCCCAGGCUAAGAUUCUCUGUUUGCAGAAGGGAUAAAAACAUAGCUAUCUGCCUCUGGGAAAAGAAGUGGGAAACCCCUCUAUCCCCAUGGUAACCCUCACACUGAAUAACAAGUAAUAGUACUCUCCUCCUGGUGGGGAAAAGAAAAAAACCCUCUUGCAACCAGUCCUCAAUACUGAGCUACCACUACACACCCCAUCAGAAUGACCGCAAUUAAUUAAACUGAUGAUGCCAAAAAUUGGCCAGGACGUAGAAAAACAAGAACUCCCCUAUGGUCCUGGGAAAGGGUCUACUAAAUUGGUGCAACCACUUUGGAAAAGUAUUUGGCAGUACCAACUAAAGCUACACACAUGUAUAUCCUAUGACCCAGCAAUUCCACUUCUAGGUCUUUGUUUUUUUUUCUAGGUCUUAAUCUAAGUGAAAUGAGCACAGACGUGAGCCAAAAGGUGUAUUAAAGAGCAUUCAUGACAGACCUACUUGAAAUAACCCAACCUGUAAACAAGCCAAUAAUCACCAACAGUACCAUGUAGAAAUCAUAUAAUUGUGGUUUUUGUCACUCAUUGGAAUAAAUACUAUACAGCAGAGAUAAUGAACCACUACUACCUGCAACAUGAAUAAAUCUAACCAACAUGGUGAACAAAAGAAGCUAAUUAAAAUGAAUCCAUGAAUUCAUUUAUACGAAGUUUAAAAACAAGAAACCAAUAUAUGGGAUGGAAACCAGAGAGCAAUUAUAUUUUUGAGCAUAGUAAACAGACAGGAGGAGUAGGGGGCUUCUGGAGUCCUGGAGAUGUUUUACUUCUUGUUCUAGUGUUGGUUAUACGGGUGAGUUCAUGUGAAAAUUCAUUAAGCUGUACCUUUGUGAUUUAACCCCUUUUCCAUCUGAACAUUAUAUUUCAACUAAAAGAAAAGUUUACUUUAAGGAAAAGUGAUUGAUAUGAUGGGAAACGUUGCCAAGUCAGCCUUGAGUUCAAGACCAAAGGGUUUAUCCUUUGUUCCAUUAGCAAAUAAGUGCCACCCAUUGUGUUUUGCUUUGGUUUGUUGUUUUUUUUUUUAAGAUAAUUGUAAAUUCAUAUGCAGUUGUAAGAAAUAAUACGGAUAAAUCCAAUAUAUUCUUCAUCCAGUUUCCCCAAUGUUGACAUUUUCUAAACUUAUAGCUCAGAAUCAAAAUUAAGAAAUUAGCAUUGAGGGCAGCCCGGUUGGCUCAGCGGUUUAGUGCCAACUUCAGCCCAUGGUGUGAUCCUGGAGACUCAGGAUCGAGUCCCACAUUGGGCUCCCUGCAUGGAGCCUGCUUCUCCCUCUCCCUGUGUCUCUGUGCCUUUCUCUCUCUGUGU